Molecule: small nuclear RNA, 315 nt
Filed under: Chaetura pelagica (chimney swift)
Lineage: Eukaryota; Metazoa; Chordata; Aves; Apodiformes; Apodidae
Description: 7SK RNA
Rfam family: 7SK RNA
About the family: 7SK was discovered as an abundant small nuclear RNA in the mid-70s but a possible function has only recently been suggested. Two independent studies have found that 7SK RNA binds the CDK9/cyclin T complex (known as elongation factor P-TEFb). P-TEFb activates transcription by phosphorylating the C-terminal domain of RNA polymerase II.
Source: Rfam by way of RNAcentral
GGAUGUGAGGGUGAUCUGGCUGCGACAUCUGUCACCAUUGAUCGCCAGGGUUGAUUUGGCUGAUCUGGCUGGCUAGGCGGGUGUCCCCUUCCUCCCUCACCGCUCCAUGUGCGUCCCUCCCGAAGCUGCGCGCUCGGUCGAAGAGGACGACCUUCCCCGAUAGAGACGUACCGUUCAUCGGUCAAGGGUAUACGGUAGCUGCGCUCCCCUGCUAGAACCUCCAAAAGAACUUCAAGCAAGAACUUCUUUUAUCUGCAUGUUUUGUUUCAGUCAGCUACAUUUGCAUGUCAUCAGCCAGGAUUUUGAUUCUCCGGC